UUGAACGCUGGCGGCAGGCCUAACACAUGCCAGUCGAACGGUAACAGGAAGCAGCUUGCUGCUUCGCUGACGAGUGGCGGACGGGUGAGUAAUGUCUGGGAAACUGCCUGAUGGAGGGGGAUAACUACUGGAAACGGUAGCUAAUACCGCAUAACGUCGCAAGACCAAAGAGGGGGACCUUAGGGCCUCUUGCCAUCGGAUGUGCCCAGAUGGGAUUAGCUAGUAGGUGGGGUAACGGCUCACCUAGGCGACGAUCCCUAGCUGGUCUGAGAGGAUGACCAGCCACACUGGAACUGAGACACGGUCCAGACUCCUACGGGAGGCAGCAGUGGGGAAUAUUGCACAAUGGGCGCAAGCCUGAUGCAGCCAUGCCGCGUGUAUGAAGAAGGCCUUCGGGUUGUAAAGUACUUUCAGCGGGGAGGAAGGGAGUAAAGUUAAUACCUUUGCUCAUUGACGUUACCCGCAGAAGAAGCGCCGGCUAACUCCGUG
Molecule: ribosomal RNA, 489 nt
Filed under: uncultured bacterium
Lineage: Bacteria
Description: partial 16S ribosomal RNA
Rfam family: Bacterial small subunit ribosomal RNA
Source: RNAcentral